This 422-nucleotide ribosomal RNA is filed under the name uncultured bacterium. RNAcentral's name for it is "bacterial SSU rRNA". It matches the Rfam family "Bacterial small subunit ribosomal RNA", at positions 361 to 776 of the family's 1533-position model. The record is from RNAcentral.
AUAUUGCGCAAUGGGGGCAACCCUGACGCAGCGACGCCGCGUGUGUGAUGAAGGCCUUCGGGUCGUAAAGCACUGUCGAGCGGAAAGAAUGCGGCACGGCCAAUACCCGUGCCGAUGACGGUACCGCUUGAGGAAGCACCGGCUAACUCCGUGCCAGCAGCCGCGGUAAUACGGAGGGUGCGAGCGUUGUUCGGAAUCAUUGGGCGUAAAGGGCGCGUAGGCGGGUCGUUAAGUCCGAUGUGAAAUCCCUCGGCUCAACUGAGGAAGUGCAUCGGAUACUGGCGGUCUUGAGUCCUGGAGAGGGUAGCGGAAUUCCCAGUGUAGAGGUGAAAUUCGUAGAUAUUGGGAGGAACACCGGUGGCGAAGGCGGCUACCUGGACAGUGACUGACGCUGAGGCGCGAAAGCAUGGGUAGCAAACAGG